AUAGAGAGGGCUCUCGCGUUAUAUGUAGGCGUAUACCGUGGCCCCCGAUGAUCGUAUCCAACAGCUCCAUCGGGUCAUCGCCCUCACCCUGCCCCCGGUGCUGGCGCUCGCGAGCGAUCGGUAGAGAAAAGGACACGAGAGAACAAGAGCGAGAUAGGUAGAAGAAAGGAAGACGUUGGAAACAUGCCGGGCUAUGGAGACUCCAAGUCCGAGAGCGAUUCUCAUGAGCAUGAAAGAGGUUCUUCGAAAAGCAGAAACAGGGAGAGAGAUAAGGAGAGGGAAAGGUAUAGAGGACGAGAACGGGACAGGGAACGUGAUGAGGAAAGGGAGAGGGAUCGGGAACGAGAUAGGGACAGGGAUCGUGAUCGUCAUCACAGGAGGGAGCACAGCCGCGGGAAAUCUGAUGAUCAUGACCAUUACCGUAGCCGAGAUCAUGAAAGGUAUAGGGACUAUGAGAGAGACAGAGACAAGUACGAUGGACAUACGUCUCGAUCUCGGUCAAGGGGUAGAUCUCAUCAUAGAUCAAGAUCGAGGGGUACAUCUGAUCAUAGAUCAAGGUCUCGUUCCCGCUCAAGGUCAAAGAGCAAACGUAUCAGCGGUUUUGACAUGCCACCUGUGGCUACUAUGAUACCUGGUGCAGUCAUUGCAGGUCAGAUGACUGGGACCACAAGUGCUAGUCCUGGAAUGUUUCCAAACAUGUUUCCAUCAACACCUGGACAGUUGUCAGCUCUCUCUUUGAUGCCUUAUCAGGCAAUGACGCAACAGGCAACUCGACAUGCUCGGCGUGUUUAUGUUGGCGGCCUUUCUCCUACUGCUAAUGAGCAGUCGGUUGCUGCUUUUUUUAACCAGGUUAUGGCAGCAAUUGGAGGGAACACUGCUGGGCCAGGUGAUGCUGUUGUUAAUGUGUAUAUAAAUCAUGAGAAGAUGUUUGCUUUUGUUGAAAUGAGGUCAGUGGAAGAAGCAAGCAAUGCAAUGGCCUUGGAUGGCAUCAUAUUUGAGGGAGCACCUGUGAAAGUGAGAAGGCCAACUGAUUACAACCCUGCUCUUGCUGCUACACUCGGCCCAAGCCAACCCAACCCCAAUCUUAACCUUGCUGCUGUUGGCCUUACACCAGGUUCUGGUGGUGUGCUUGAGGGUCCUGAUCGUAUUUUUGUGGGUGGGAUUCCACACUUUCUUACAGAAGAAAAGAUACGAGAGUUGCUUGAGAUGUUUGGUCCUCUUCGAGGUUUUAAUCUCGUCAAGGACAGGGAAACCGGCAACUCAAAAGGCUAUGCCUUCUGUAUUUACCAGGACCUUGCAGUCACAGACAUUGCAUGUGCCGCACUUAAUGGCAUCAAAAUGGGAGAUAAAACUCUUACUGUUAGACGUGCAAACCAAGGUUUAACACAGCCUAGGCCAGAACAAGAAAAUUUGUUACUGCAGGCUCAACAGCAAGUGGCGUUGCAGAAGCUUGCUUUCCAAAUGGCACCCCUUCCAACCAAGGUAGUAUGCUUAAAACAGGUUGUUAGUGAAGACGAAUUGAAAAAUGAUGAAGAAUUUGAAGAUAUUGUAGAAGACAUGAGAUGUGAAGGCGAGAAGUAUGCCUUUUGUCCAACCUUAUGCUAUUGAGAAUCUGGCUUAACCCACUGAAGAUACCAUAGUAAGCUGGUAAAUGUUAUCAUCCCUCGACCUGGUCCAAAUGGAGAAUCAUCUCCUGGAGUUGGAAAGGUAUUCUUGGAAUAUGCUGACACAGAAGGAUCUACAAAAGCCAGGCAGGGGAUGAAUGGCAGGAAAUUCGGGGGCAGAGAAGUUGUUGCCAUCUUUUAUCCAGAGAGCAAGUUUGCCCAAGGAGAAUACGAUGGCUAGUUGCAUCUUUUUCCUUUUAGUAUGUUUUCCUCCUUGGUAUCUUUAUUCUCUGCCAAUGUGCGACGGUUAUGAGGUUUUUCCGGAGGCUCUGGUGCAAUUCGGAGUUGUACAAUAUUAGUUGAUUUUUCAUGUACAACUUAAAAGGAAAUAUGUUUCUGACGUGCUGUUACUGUUAUGAUAACUCGCAUGAUACAAAAACUUUUUAAAAUAUUCUUGUUGUUCCAAAA
Molecule: RNA transcript, 2072 nt
Organism: Phoenix dactylifera (date palm)
Lineage: Eukaryota; Viridiplantae; Streptophyta; Magnoliopsida; Arecales; Arecaceae
Gene name: splicing factor U2af large subunit B-like
Source: RefSeq, a predicted model, not a curated record